This 502-nucleotide ribosomal RNA is filed under the name uncultured bacterium. Its description in RNAcentral is "partial 16S ribosomal RNA". It matches the Rfam family "Bacterial small subunit ribosomal RNA", at positions 28 to 507 of the family's 1533-position model. The record is from RNAcentral.
GACGAACGCUGGCGGCGUGCCUAAUACAUGCGAGUCGAACGAACCGCGACUGAGUGCUUGCACUUGGUCAAGGUGAGUGGCGAACGGGUGAGUAACACGUGGGUAACCUACCUCAUAGUGGGGGAUAACAGUCGGAAACGACUGCUAAUACCGCAUAGGACAUGGAAUCACAUGAUUCUGUGAGGAAAGGUGGCGCAAGCUAUCGCUAAGAGAUGGACCCGCGGUGCAUUAGCUAGUUGGUAGGGUAAGGGCCUACCAAGGCGAUGAUGCAUAGCCGACCCGAGAGGGUGAUCGGCCACAUUGGGACUGAGACACGGCCCAAACUCCUACGGGAGGCAGCAGUAGGGAAUCUUCCGCAAUGGACGCAAGUCUGACGGAGCAACGCCGCGUGAGUGAAGAAGGUCUUCGGAUCGUAAAGCUCUGUUGUUAGAGAAGAACAGCGCAUAGAGUAACUGUUAUGCGUGUGACGGUAUCUAACCAGAAAGCCACGGCUAACUACGUG